UACAGAGGUGGCAAGCGUUGUUCGGAAUUACUGGGCGUAAAGGGCGCGUAGGCGGUGCUGUAAGUCUGUGGUGAAAUCUCUGGGCUCAACUCAGAGUCUGCCAUAGAAACUGCAGUGCUGGAGUGUGGGAGAGGUGAGUGGAAUUCCCGGUGUAGCGGUGAAAUGCGCAGAUAUCAGGAGGAACACCGGUGGCGAAGGCGGCCAACUGGACGAAUACUGACGCUGAGACUCGAAAGCGUGGGGAGCAAACAGG
This 253-nucleotide ribosomal RNA is filed under the name uncultured bacterium. RNAcentral describes it as "partial 16S ribosomal RNA". It matches the Rfam family "Bacterial small subunit ribosomal RNA", at positions 524 to 776 of the family's 1533-position model. The record is from RNAcentral.